AACCUGCCCAUUGAAGAUUUAAAAGGCUGCGGUAUAUUGACCGUACAAAGGUAGCAUAAUCAAUAGUUUUUUAAUUGAAAACUUGUAUGAAAGGUUUAAUGAGAUAUUUACUGUUUCAUAAAAAUUUUAAUAAAAAUUAAUUUUUUAGUUAAAAAGCUAAAAUGAAUUUAAAAGACGAGAAGACCCUAUAGAGUUUUAUAUAGUAUAAAAUAUUAUAUUUUUGAUUUUAAAAUUUUAUUUUUAUUAUAUUUUAUUGGGGUGAUAAUAAAAUUUUAAAAUCUUUUAUUUAUUAUAAUCAAUGAUUUUUGAUUAAUUGAUCUUUUAUUAUUGAUUAUAAGAUUAAAUUACCUUAGGGAUAACAGCGUAAUUUUUUUAGAGAGUUCAUAUCGAUAAAAAUUUU
This 400-nucleotide ribosomal RNA is filed under the name Neoempheria pictipennis. RNAcentral describes it as "partial 16S ribosomal RNA". The stretch from base 1 to 114 matches the Rfam family "Archaeal large subunit ribosomal RNA", at positions 1948 to 2096 of the family's 2987-position model. The record is from RNAcentral. Lineage: Eukaryota; Metazoa; Arthropoda; Insecta; Diptera; Mycetophilidae.